GCUUUCUUGUCGGAGUGCCUAGUGUUCAGCGUAUAUCAAGGUGAACACGGGCUGAGACCGUUUAUUCGGGAUCCGCAGAACCUGAUCGGGUUAAUACCCGCGAAGGGAACAAGAGUAAUCACUUC
This 125-nucleotide non-coding RNA is filed under the name Xenorhabdus szentirmaii. Its description in RNAcentral is "TPP sequence". It matches the Rfam family "TPP riboswitch aptamer (THI element)". Rfam says of the family: Vitamin B(1) in its active form thiamin pyrophosphate (TPP) is an essential coenzyme that is synthesised by coupling of pyrimidine and thiazole moieties in bacteria. The previously detected thiamin-regulatory element, thi box was extended, resulting in a new, highly conserved RNA secondary structure, the THI element, which is widely distributed in eubacteria and also occurs in some archaea. Lineage: Bacteria; Pseudomonadati; Pseudomonadota; Gammaproteobacteria; Enterobacterales; Morganellaceae. RNAcentral also lists the same sequence under 1 other name. The record is from RNAcentral.